RNAcentral lists this ribosomal RNA (449 nucleotides) under uncultured bacterium. RNAcentral's name for it is "partial 16S ribosomal RNA". It matches the Rfam family "Bacterial small subunit ribosomal RNA", at positions 338 to 795 of the family's 1533-position model. The record is from RNAcentral.
CCUACGGGCGGCUGCAGUGGGGAAUAUUGGACAAUGGGGGAAACCCUGAUCCAGCAAUGCCGCGUGUGUGAAGAAGGCCUGCGGUUUGUAAGGCACUUUCGGUUGGGAAGAAAAGUUUGGCGCCAAUACCGCCGAACCUUGACGUUACUGACAGAAGAAGCACCGGCUAACUCUGUGCCAGCAGCCGCGGUAAUACAGAGGGUGCAAGCGUUAAUCGGAAUCACUGGGGUGGAAGCGUGAGUAGGUGGUCAAGUCCCCGGGCUUAACCUGGGAACUGCAGUUGAUACUACAUGGCUAGAGUAUGGUAGAGGGAAGUGGAAUUUCCGGUGGAGCGGUGAAAUGCGUAGAUAUCGGAAGGAACACCAAUGGCGAAGGCAGCUUCCUGGACUAAUACUGACACUGAGGCACGAAAGCGUGGGUAGCAAACAGGAUUAGAUACCCGGGUAGUC